RNAcentral lists this ribosomal RNA (253 nucleotides) under uncultured bacterium. Its description in RNAcentral is "partial 16S ribosomal RNA". It matches the Rfam family "Bacterial small subunit ribosomal RNA", at positions 524 to 776 of the family's 1533-position model. The record is from RNAcentral.
UACGUAGGGGGCAAGCGUUGUCCGGAUUUAUUGGGCGUAAAGAGCGUGUAGGCGGCUGGGUAGGUCCGCUGUGAAAACUCGAGGCUCAACCUCGAGACGUCGGUUGAAACCACCUGGCUAGAGUCCGGAAGAGGAGAGUGGAAUUCCUGGUGUAGCGGUGAAAUGCGCAGAUAUCAGGAAGAACACCCGUGGCGAAGGCGGCUCUCUGGGACGGUACUGACGCUGAGACGCGAAAGCGUGGGGAGCGAACAGG